This is a non-coding RNA of Pleurotus pulmonarius, 83 nucleotides long. The record is from the annotation of a GenBank genome assembly. NCBI's taxonomy places the organism in Eukaryota, Fungi, Basidiomycota, Agaricomycetes, Agaricales, Pleurotaceae.
GGCCUGAUGGUCUAGUAGUAUGAUUCCUUGUUAGGGUUUCACCAUUAUCGAGGAGGUCCCGGGUUCAAUUCCCGGUCAGGCCC